This 1216-nucleotide long non-coding RNA is filed under the name Helianthus annuus (common sunflower). RNAcentral describes it as "hypothetical non coding rna". The record is from RNAcentral. Lineage: Eukaryota; Viridiplantae; Streptophyta; Magnoliopsida; Asterales; Asteraceae.
AUGCAGCAGCAUCCAAGAAUAACUCCCGUAAAAGACCGGUUUCUAGUCCCGGUAACCGGAUCAGGAGACCUGUAACAAUCAGAUUAAAAAGGAACAUAAUGUUAGUAAAAGUUGAAGAGGUCGCAAAAUGGGUGGGUCGUUUGUCAAAAUGGGCCAGCUUGAGAUAAUCCAAAACACUUUCCAUCAAGAAAUGCUCGAGUUUUUUAAUAAAUAGUUAGCAUAUUAAAAAUGAUCAUGACGUUUACAUCAUUUCAAAAAUUAAUAAAAAAACCAUUUUCUAGGUCAUAAUACGCUUGAAAUGAAUUUUAACUCAUUUCUCUUUUCAAUGUCUUUACCCAUUUGACCCAUAAAUCCAUUUAUAAGUGAACGGGUCAAAAUUACCACCUCUAAAAGUAGUAAUUUUAUUGACUCGUAUUUCAUUAUCUUUCUCAUCGAGUCAUCCUCAAUGAGGAUGCUUAUUAAAUAUGAUCAAGCAUAUAGAUAAAAAUUCCGAACGAAAAAUUUGUCAAUUUGACAAAGUAUAUAGAUAAAAAUGUAGUCAUAUACGGAUUAUCAUUGUCAAACUGCUGAUGAAUAUGGUUCUAGUUAUGGUUUUUUAUAUCAUGCAUAGCAAGAAAGAUGAGACCUUUAAACAUAAGGUUGUGUAAUUAUUUGGUGGCCCCGCUUGUAGUUUCCGGUUUAUGCAAAUGAAUGUCUUGGGAAGAAGAUUGCAUUUGAUCUUCAGCUCUUCAAAUAACUUCUUCAGCGCUAAAACCAGUUCACUUCUCCUCCUGUUCUUUUCACCAAACUCUUGAAAAUUCAUCAUAUGAUUGAAAACAUCGCCAUUUUUAUCUUGUUCACAUUUUCGAUCUCCUUCACGACAAAACUGUGAUUCAGGUGCCAGAAUUGGGGAUUCUACUCCAAAUACCUAAUCACAUAUAAUAAUGAUAGAUAGCAUUUGUUAUAUACCAUGAAACAGAAUGUAUAAAAAAUGUUUUAUAACUUACUUUUCAUCUUGUCUUUUAAUAGCCCAAUCUUCUCAAUAGGUGUUGUAAAGUCAGAGAAUUCGACACCAUCUGACAUAUCUGGACUUCUAUAGAAAUUUCUAAUGCGCUUUGUAGACAAACCCCAAUUCGGAUUAUAUUGUCAUAUCUCCAGAAAGCCGUCGUUAAGAUAUUCAUCUCUUCAACUAUCAACUGUCAAAUAACAAAUAGUCCAUCAAUUAAAUGCAAAAUAU